Molecule: ribosomal RNA, 468 nt
Filed under: uncultured bacterium
Lineage: Bacteria
Description: partial 16S ribosomal RNA
Rfam family: Bacterial small subunit ribosomal RNA
Source: RNAcentral
GACGAACGCUGGCGGCGUGCUUAACACAUGCAAGUCGAACGGAAAGGCCCUGCUUUUGUGGGGUGCUCGAGUGGCGAACAGGUGAGUAACACGUGAGUAACCUGCCCUUGACUUUGGGAUAACUUCAGGAAACUGGGGCUAAUACCGGAUAGGAGCUCCUGCUGCAUGGUGGGGGUUGGAAAGUUUCGGCGGUUGGGGAUGGACUCGCGGCUUAUCAGCUUGUUGGUGGGGUAGUGGCUUACCAAGGCUUUGACGGGUAGCCGGCCUGAGAGGGUGACCGGCCACAUUGGGACUGAGGUACGGCCCAGACUCCUACGGGAGGCAGCAGUGGGGAAUAUUGCACAAUGGGCGGAAGCCUGAUGCAGCAACGCCGCGUGCGGGAUGACGGCCUUCGGGUUGUAAACCGCUUUCGCCUGUGACGAAGCGUGAGUGACGGUAAUGGGUAAAGAAGCACCGGCUAACUACGUG